Molecule: long non-coding RNA, 209 nt
Filed under: Mytilus galloprovincialis (Mediterranean mussel)
Lineage: Eukaryota; Metazoa; Mollusca; Bivalvia; Mytilida; Mytilidae
Source: RNAcentral
UUUUAUCUUAUUAGUAUGGAUAUACAUGGUUGAUUUUCUUAGGUACUCCAGCUUCCUUCAAUUGUGAAAAGAGGGACGAAAGAUACCAGAGGGACAGUCAAACUCAUUAAUCGAAAAUAAACUGACAACGCCAAGGCUAAAAAUGAAAAGGACAAACAGACAAACAAUAGUACACAUGACACAACAUAGAAAACUAAAGAAUAAACAAC